UUAGCGGCGGACGGGUGAGUAACACGUGGAUAACCUACCUAUAAGACUGGGAUAACUUCGGGAAACCGGAGCUAAUACCGGAUAAUAUUUUGAACCGCAUGGUUCAAAAGUAAAAGACGGUCUUGCUGUCACUUAUAGAUGGAUCCGCGCUGCAUUAGCUAGUUGGUAAGGUAACGGCUUACCAAGGCAACGAUGCAUAGCCGACCUGAGAGGGUGAUCGGCCACACUGGAACUGAGACACGGUCCAGACUCCUACGGGAGGCAGCAGUAGGGAAUCUUCCGCAAUGGGCGAAAGCCUGACGGAGCAACGCCGCGUGAGUGAUGAAGGUCUUCGGAUCGUAAAACUCUGUUAUUAGGGAAGAACAUAUGUGUAAGUAACUGUGCACAUCUUGACGGUACCUAAUCAGAAAGCCACGGCUAACUACGUGCCAGCAGCCGCGGUAAUACGUAGGUGGCAAGCGUUAUCCGGAAUUAUUGGGCGUAAAGCGCGCGUAGGCGGUUUUUUAAGUCUGAUGUGAAAGCCCACGGCUCAACCGUGGAGGGUCAUUGGAAACUGGAAAACUUGAGUGCAGAAGAGGAAAGUGGAAUUCCAUGUGUAGCGGUGAAAUGCGCAGAGAUAUGGAGGAACACCAGUGGCGAAGGCGACUUUCUGGUCUGUAACUGACGCUGAUGUGCGAAAGCGUGGGGAUCAAACAGGAUUAGAUACCCUGGUAGUCCACGCCGUAAACGAUGAGUGCUAAGUGUUAGGGGGUUUCCGCCCCUUAGUGCUGCAGCUAACGCAUUAAGCACUCCGCCUGGGGAGUACGACCGCAAGGUGAAACUCAAAGGAAUUGACGGA
RNAcentral lists this ribosomal RNA (838 nucleotides) under uncultured bacterium. RNAcentral describes it as "bacterial SSU rRNA". It matches the Rfam family "Bacterial small subunit ribosomal RNA", at positions 92 to 917 of the family's 1533-position model. The record is from RNAcentral.